GGGACCUCAGAAGGGAUCCAGUGCUCCAUGAAGAGGUAGAAGAAGUGACUCAGUGGCCCUGUGAAGAAGAACCUGAGGCCCCACAGCGGGGACCAGAUCCCCCCUCAAUCUUCACGCGGCCAGCUCCUUCUCAACACUGUCAGCUUGGAGACCUCCUCAUUGUUCUGGACAACGCACCAGCUGCUGUCUCAGCCACUCUCAACUCCAGGUACGCGUCACAAGACGGAUUGUGUCUGUCUCAUCACUGCUGUGUCCACAGCGCCUAGAACAUGGCCUGGCUCAGAGGAGGUGCUCAGUAGUAAGACAGCUGUGGUGGCUGCAACCAGCGGGCUUCCGAAGACGAAGGGAUAUUUGUGAGUUUUAGAUCAAAAACAAAACACGACUUCAAAAUAAUCCAUCUAUACAAUCACUAUUGUUGGCCAGAGAACGUGACGUGGAUUUAAUUGGGUAAAACUCCUGAAUCUCUGUGUUCUUUGCAGUUCCAAAAGUGAUUCCGAAACUGGACAUUUUUCAGGAUUCCUAAGUAUUUAUUUUCUGGUUGUUUAAGCUAUGAAAAUAACAGAAACAACUGGCAAUAUUUGAGUAGUUUUCCUCUUUCACGGUCUUUGUGUCUUGAAGUCUAAUUUAGGUUCAGGUGAAUUAUCUGCCCUCAGAUCUCUCGGCCCAAUGAGGACAGCCGCCCCCACUCAUGCGAUUCAAAAUGAAAACCAUAAAACAAGUUAAUGUUAUCCAUCAUUCUGACUUUUUCCC
This is a long non-coding RNA of Lynx canadensis (Canada lynx), 750 nucleotides long. RefSeq lists it as uncharacterized. The record is from RefSeq and is a predicted model, not a curated record. The transcript has 4 exons. Lineage: Eukaryota; Metazoa; Chordata; Mammalia; Carnivora; Felidae.